AUGGUUGGUGCACUGCAAUAUUUAACUCUGACUAGGCCUGAUAUUUCUUUUGCUAUGAAUAAAGUAUGUCAGUUUCUUCAUGCACCCACCACAGUACAUUUGACAGUUGCAAAACGCAUACUUAGAUAUAUCAAGGACACUUCCAGUGUUGGACUCACCUUCACCAAGUCACCAUCAACACUUGUAAGUGCCUUUUCUGACUCUGAUUGGGCAGGUUGUCUUGAUGACAGACGCUCAACAGGUGGUUUUGCAGUGUUCUUUGGUCCAAAUUUAAUCUCAUGGUGUGCUAAGAAACAAGCUACUGUGUCUAGAUCCAGCACAGAAGCAGAAUACAAAGCACUAGCAAAUGCUACUACUGAAAUUAUCUGGGUUCAGUCAUUACUGAAAGAGCUUGGGAUACAUAGUAAACAGGCUCCAUGCUUAUGGUGUGACAAUCUGGGUGCCACCUAUCUUUCUGCUAACCCAAUAUUUCAUGCAAGAACAAAACAUAUCGAAAUAGAUUUCCACUUUGUCAGAGAAAGAGUUGUAGAAAAAAAGCUGGAUAUUCGGUUCAUUCGGUCUCAAGAUCAAGUUGCAGAUGGCUUCACUAAAGCUUUGCCUACCAGAGGUUUUGAAGAAUUUAAGCGUAAUCUCAACUUGUCCAAGUUGUGA
This 651-nucleotide ribosomal RNA is filed under the name Triticum aestivum (bread wheat). RNAcentral's name for it is "partial small subunit ribosomal RNA". Lineage: Eukaryota; Viridiplantae; Streptophyta; Magnoliopsida; Poales; Poaceae. The record is from RNAcentral.